CAGAAGUUCGUGGGGACCUAAUGGAGUUCAUCCCCUUCAGGAAAAGCUGUUCAACUACGUACUGAAUGACAGUGGGCCAGCAAAUGAGCUCAUUGUUAAAGCUGGUCCAACAUGUCUAACCAGGGAGAAUUUACUGACCUUGGGGACAAACAGGGAGAUGGACUCUGUGGUGGGUAAAAUAUGUGGUUAUGGAAAGACAAGGUGCUAUGUAAUCCAUCAUGAAUACCUUGUUUUAGUCCUAUAAAUAAUGGUAAGACUUUGUCUACCACACGUACGGUCGGAUUGUCUGUGAGAUACUUUUUGUCUCUUUAUGGUUUGACACAUUAUUUUUACCAGAAAGGUUUAAGAAAGGUGUUGUUUUACAGGUGGGGAAUGCUUGUUUGAGGUUGGUUCAGGAGAUGGUCCAACUUCAGGGGAAAGAUGUUUUCAUCAUGGACCUUCACACGCCCCCAACAUGGCUCCCACCCAUGGAUUGUGACCCUCUGCAUAGUCUUCCUGUGGAUUACGCGAAGAAGACACUGAUAUUUCCUCUGUGGACUCGAGGGCAUUAUCUGCU
This is a long non-coding RNA of Alosa alosa (allis shad), 556 nucleotides long. RefSeq lists it as uncharacterized. Lineage: Eukaryota; Metazoa; Chordata; Actinopteri; Clupeiformes; Clupeidae. The transcript has 4 exons. The record is from RefSeq and is a predicted model, not a curated record.